This is a long non-coding RNA of Pyrus x bretschneideri (Chinese white pear), 2713 nucleotides long. RefSeq lists it as uncharacterized. The transcript has 2 exons. The record is from RefSeq and is a predicted model, not a curated record. Lineage: Eukaryota; Viridiplantae; Streptophyta; Magnoliopsida; Rosales; Rosaceae.
UAUCAGACUGAGCAAAAAGGUUGGUAUCUUUCGCUUUCAUUUUUUUUCCUUCAAUUUGGAAUGUGAAUUCACAUUGUCACUUUGGCUUUAUAUUGUUGGUACACAAAGACAGACUGCAAACAAUGUUACCUUUUUUUAUUUUUUUUAUUUUUUGUAAGAACUUCAGUUAUUUUCAAAAUGUGAAAAUAACAUGCAUUCCCUUAUAUUCCAAUGAGCAUCGAGACAAUAAUAUUUCUUACAGGAAAAGAAUAGAUCCUAUGUUAGGAAGAUACAAAGCUGGAGUAUUUGCCAAAUAAAAUUGUGGUUAUUCUUUUUUUAUUCUUUAAGGGACAAUUGUUACCGCUUCUUUUUCUUAAUGGAAAAUUGUUGCUAAUUUGUUUGUGAAAUUUUACCUAGGUUUUAUCUUUCCUUAUUCUUUUUGUGUUUGUUUUUCCCUUUUGGUUUAUUUCGAAUCAUGGAAUCUGGACAGAGUGAGCAGGAUGAUAGUAGUGGUUUGUUUGUGUUUUUUUUUUUUUAAUUUUGAUUGAUUAAAGAGUAAAAGCGCUGGCACGAGCAAGAAGGCUUCUAAGGAUCCAAAUAAUCCUAAGAAGCUUACAAGUGCCUUCAUCGUUUUCAUUUUUAUAUAAGAAGCAUUUCAGAGUGAAAUACAAGGACCAUCCUAAUAACAAAUAUGUCGCCGCUGCAAGUCAAUCUCAUCGUAUGAUCCACUCUUACCUUUAUCAAUUACCAUCCUAUUAAUACAACAUAGUCUCCACUCUCUCACUCUCUUGCAGAUCCUUCUUCCCAUUUUCUCCGAGAAAGGAUCAAUGCCAUCAGCCUUUACUCAUUAGCCACUGCCACCUUUACAUUGCACAUCAAACUUAGAACACACAUGGUAUAUAUGUCUCUCACAUCUCAGAUCCUUUCUUUACUUCAAUUUUUAUGAGAUCUUACAGUAGCGUUUUAAUUUUUCCAGUAUUGUUACUCUUGUACGAUUGCUACUACAUAUACAUCUUUUUAGGCUAUUGGGUUUUUUCUGCGUGUACAGAUUAGAUUCCCAAAUUUUCUUUUUCCCUUUUUUUUUUUUAUAGUUCUCUCUCAUUUUUCUAAGAUCAAAAUGCAAAACGUAAAUUUCAAACAUCCUUGCAGACCAAAUUCAUUACUUUUAACUAUGCACACAAGUUUGAGAGACCAUUUCAGAAAUAAAUAUUUUAGCCAUGCAUAAAAGUAUGGGCAAUCUGCUAUUUACUCCUCUUUAACUCUAUUUCUCAUAUUGAAGACUCAGGGCAAAUACUUGAAGAGAACUCGACCGGUAUUGACUGCUCUUUAACUUUAUUUCUCAUAUUUAAUACAGUAGCUGAACAAUCUGGUAACAUAGUUCAUCUUGUUACAACCUUAUUUCGUUAAUUUUCCAAUUUAUCUCUUUACUCGGUCACCUUUAAGCAAAUCAUAAUUGUGCCUCUUCAUUUAUCUGCUCAUUGCUAUUUAUGUUAGCUGCUUAUUUUUCAGUGGGAUUGGUUCUAAAAUUCUAAUUUGUUUAAGCAAUGACAAACUGGAAUUGAUUUUGAAAUUUUAUCACUAUGCAAAAUUGCAAAGGGCUGAUCAAAUGAAACACAUAAUUUUGAUACACCUGGCUAAGGCAUUGGAAUUCCAUCAUUAGUAAUUUGAAAAAGCCAACAAAAAUCCUUGCUUUUAAGCAACAUACUGAUGAAGUUGACCCAACCUAAGAUAACCAAAUCUAUGCAUAUAUACAAGAAAAAACUGUUGGACAAUUACAUAUACAUAGUUCAUAUCAAAAUUUAUUUACAUAGUUCACAUGGAAAUAUAGUUGUUGAUAGCAGAAGAAAAUACACAACUUAUUUAUAAAAAUUUCAAUAUCUGUUAAGCUCUUUAUCAUUGAAAAUACAUAGCCAUUUUAUUUACCAUUUGCAACGAAUAUUUGGAACUAGCUAUGCAUUUCGUUUUGCUCUUAUUUCGGAGUUUCCUUCAAACUUUCUAAUACUUGGAAAAGGUGGUAAAUGUGCAUGAAUCAUAUUGUUAUGAGUUAAUGAGUUGGUGCUUUUUGUUGCUCAAGUAAGAUGAGAAUAUGUUAGUAUUGCCAACUAUGGAUUGCAAUGGACUAUCAUUUUUACAUGUUUGGGCCUAUCUGUGUGACCUUUUGAGUUGAUUCGGCAUGUAGUUAGCUUUUUUUUUUUUUUUUUUUUUUUUUUUUUUUAAGUUGAUUCGGCAUGUUGUUGAUUUGGAUGAGAAAAAAAAAUUGGGAAUGGAUACACCCAUGUUCAUUAAUAUUCGUACUUCUAAUCCCUUCGAUUUAAUUAUAUUCAUCGCACCACAUAGUACUGCCAAGCAAAUACACAUUACAUACUCUAACUUUUCUUUUCCUCCUUUUUUAGUUCCCAAAAGGUGCAAGCUUUAACUCGAUUCAGUGUACUAUCUGUUGGUGUGUAACCCUUCAGCUAAAGGUUGACGGUAAAUGAUCAGUUUAAAUGUUUUUGUUUCUAGUUUGAAUCUGAGUCAUUAAAUCAUAUGGCAGCUCAAUCUUGUAUCUAGCUUAAGUGAUAGAUUAAGACAAGUGGCAUCAUCUCAUAGGGUGAUACCAAUUGAGGGUUGAGAUUGUAUCUUGGUUUGGUGAGUGAAGGAUCCCCCUUCUUUUCCAUGUAUAAAGGUAACAAACACACACAUGCUUCAUGUGUGAAAAAAUUAGAAAAUUAAUUCAAUCAUCUUCUCUCUGAAA